This 446-nucleotide ribosomal RNA is filed under the name uncultured bacterium. Its description in RNAcentral is "partial 16S ribosomal RNA". It matches the Rfam family "Bacterial small subunit ribosomal RNA", at positions 338 to 795 of the family's 1533-position model. The record is from RNAcentral.
CCUACGGGAGGCAGCAGUCGAGAAUCAUUCACAAUGGGGGAAACCCUGAUGGUGCGACGCCGCGUGGGGGAAUGAAGGUCUUCGGAUUGUAAACCCCUGUCAUGUGGGAGCAAAUUAAAAAGAUAGUAACACAAGAGGAAGAGACGGCUAAAGCGGUGCCAGCAGCCGCGGUAAUACAGAGGUCUCAAGCGUUGUGCGGAAUCACUGGGCGAAAAGCGGGCGUAGGCUGUUUCGUAAGUCGUGUGAGAAAGGCGCGGGCACAACCCGCGGACGGCACAUGAUAAUGCGAGACUAGAGUAAUGGAGGGGGAACCGGAAUUCUCGGUGUAGCAGUGAAAUGCGUAGAUAUCGAGAGGAACACUCGUGGCGAAGGCGGGUUCCUGGACAUUAACUGACGCUGAGGCACGAAGGCCAGGGGAGCGAAAGGGAUUAGAUACCCUUGUAGUC